AUAUGGCCGUUCCUCGCAUGGGGGUGGUGGAAAGCCUUCGGGUGGUUUUGGAUGGACUCACGGCCUAUCAGCUUGUUGGUGGGGUAAGUGGCUCACCAAGGCGACGACGGGUAGCCGGCCUGAGAGGGUGACCGGCCACACUGGGACUGAGACACGGCCCAGACUCCUACGGGAGGCAGCAGUGGGGAAUAUUGCACAAUGGGCGAAAGCCUGAUGCAGCGACGCCGCGUGAGGGAUGACGGCCUUCGGGUUGUAAACCUCUUUCAGCAGGGAACAAGGCCAGGCUUUUGUCUGGUUGAGGGUACUUGCAGAAGAAGCGCCGGCUAACUACGUGC
This 335-nucleotide ribosomal RNA is filed under the name uncultured Arthrobacter sp. RNAcentral's name for it is "bacterial SSU rRNA". It matches the Rfam family "Bacterial small subunit ribosomal RNA", at positions 173 to 508 of the family's 1533-position model. Lineage: Bacteria; Bacillati; Actinomycetota; Actinomycetes; Micrococcales; Micrococcaceae. The record is from RNAcentral.